UUCGACUGCUUGUCAAAGAAAAAAAGAUGCAUUUAAGUUAGUUUGCCCAAAUCUAACAGGAAUUUUUAAAAGCUGGUUUGAAUUAAAGUUGCAUUGAACAAAUUUCAGAAACAAUCUCAUGAAAUAUAUUUAGGGAAGUAUGGAAUGAGGCUAUUUUCCUUUGGUAGAAAAUUAUCUUGCUUUAUCAACAAUUACAUCUUCAUCUGUACAGUCCCUUUGAAGUACAGGUGGUAAAUGCCUCAGUGUGAUAUUAAAGAACAAAGUCUGCUACUUGUAGGCAAGGUUGGAUGAACUAAGGGGAUAAAAAUGUCUGGAGGGAGGAUAGCUGGGAAUGCCUUGUUUAGUUACUAAUAACAUUGUUCUGUUAAUAGUAAUAAUAAUAACUGCCAUUUCUUCAACUUUUAACAUUCCUUGUUCUUCCAACUGAUAUCUAAGGUAGGUAUGAGGAAUCAAUUUGCAGACGAGAAAACUCAGAGAUAGAGAGGUGACUUCCUAGUAAGAAGCACAACAGUGUUAGAAACUAAGAUUCUUUGUCUUUGAUGGUUCUUCUCUUUCCACUCUACCAUGCUUCUUCCAUUUAAUGCACAAUAUUGUAUACCGUAAUAUACUUUCUAGAUUAUCUAUUUAUUCACAAUGUCUUUUAGACAAAUAUUUUCCUCUGCUGUCUCAGCAGAUUCUAGAUCUGGACUGAGCCAAUGGAGCUUCUUCAGUGAGAUAAUCAGAGUUGGCCAUAUUUGAAGGAAAACUGGUCCUUCAGCCUCAGAAGGUAGAGCUCUGCCCUGGUCUGGCCAUCAUUCUUCCUUCAGCUUAGACAGGAAUGGGGAAAUGGGAGGAUCAUAGUGAGAAAAACAGUGAGGUAUCAGUACAGCCUUUUGAGUCAGCACAAUCCCUGAGUGGCCAUGUGCUUAUGUAUUCAACUUCCCAUGAAUUCUGUGUUCUCACUUAUACAUCUGUUGCAAGUAGGCAGAUGCUUUGCUUAAAGUUACGUUUUUCACUUACAGUAGUAUUCCAUGAGUUGCCACAGUGCUUUAUCUAUCCUUCUGUAAUACAAUUUUGAAUUAAUGCACUAGCCCUCCAGCAGGCUGCCAUCCAAACAUUAGAAAGGAAAUUGGAUUAUUGUUGGAUUUUGUUUUUUAAAUGUGAGUGCCAAUGGCAUAUUGACUCUUAAAUUCUACAGAGGUACACUUUGUGAUGACUAAUUUUGCAAGAGAACCAGAUUUCAGACUUUAUUAUAUGGUACAGAAAAUUUAAUAAGAAUCAAGUUGGAAAAUGCUGGCUAGUUUUUAAGAUUAGUACAAAAAAAAUUGCUUUUUUUAAAUUCCUUCUCUUUAGCAAUUAUAUCACCAGCACAAUAGUCCUACAAGUUGCUUGAAAGAAAUAAUGAACUUUGGGUUCAGAAAUUGCAAUGCAGAAAUCUUUCAAAUCUUCAGAGGAAUAAGGGCUGCUUCUCUGUCAUUUACUUUGUGUUGACUGCAGGAAUUUCCCAAUUUAUCAAGUGCCAUUGCCCAUUAUACUUUUACUAUUUUGGUUAUGUCUGCUUUCCUUUGGAGAGGUCUUACUUUGAAGCAAAUGAUUUUUUUUUUUUUUUUUUUUUGGAGUGGGAGUGGUAAUCCGUGAGAACUGACUCAUGUCUCCCCCUUCAAGUAUUUGUGAAUUUAUACUUGUCUUCACUUGGAGCUGCAUUACUGGGAUAAAUCCAGUGUUAGAAGGAGAAGUGGAAUGAGCAAGGCUCAAUUGCUAUUUCCAGAACUUUGAGGAAGUGUGUUUCUUUGAAUUAAGUUCCCAUUUUCAAUGUAGGCUGCAAAAAACGUACAAAAUGUUGAAAUAGGAAGGCUUUUAAACUCUCACAUCAAGUCUCAGAAAACAUUUCAUUAAACUGCAUUUCAUGACCUGACAAUAACAGGUUAAGUGACAUAGCUUCAAAAAAAGCUUCUAUCAACAUUUUGACUUGACUGGAAGAUUCCUUGUUGUCCCUGAUGGCCAAUUAGGAGACAGGGAAUCAAUCAAGAACCAAAUGUAGUGACUCCUUAGAAUCUGCUGUCAUAGGAUUUGGUCCGUUUGCAUCCUUAGCACUUAGGACUCUGCUAGUGCAUCAGUCUCCCUGUGAAGCCUUCAGAAGCAUAGACACCAGCUGCAACAUUUUCAUUACCCAUUCCCAACCCAACCUUGACAAUACUUCCGUUGAUCAAAGGUGGGACUGCUGGGCUUUUUGUUUUGAAGAAAUCUGUAGAUAAUUCUGGUUGUUAGUCAGUUUGGAUUUUGAUUCCAACACUUACUAAGCUGUGUGAUUCUGGGCAUGUCUUUUAACGUCGAUGUACUCUCAUUUCUUCAUCUGGAUUACAUGUGCUAAUGCAGGUUAAUAAGUUUUUAUAUGAGAAUAUGUAACUAUAAUUCGAAGGGUAGCUUUGUUAAUUAUCUGGGUCAUGUUUCAUCAACUUUACUCCUAGUAUUUGUAGUAAUAGUUGCACUCGGGUUUACAGAAUGAGUGUGGUUAGUUAUCCUCAGAACCAGGAAAAUAAUAAACUAUAUCCCACCCACAAUGCAGUGGAGGAGAAAACUUCCCCAGGGAUUUCCCUCUUGUACAUAUGUUUAAUAUUUGAUGAUGCACAAGAUUGCACUGUUCACUAAAGCUCAGUGGUUAAGCACACAGACUAAACUCAUGGUGCCUGGGAUCUUUUCCAGAUUCUACCAAUCUCUAUUGAACUUGUACAACUUUUUUAACCAGAUAUUCUAGCUGAACAGAUACUUUGUAUGUACCACUAUAUCCUCAGAAAUAAUUAAAUGUAACCAAAUCUACUCGUCUGCUGUAAGUCAAUAUAUUGUAAUAUCAAUUACAUUAACAUCCGAUAGUUAAGACUUACUAUUUGUUACUAUGAUAGAUAUACUCCAUAGUAUUGUCUGUCAUUUAAUACAGUUUUCAGCCUCUGUUCUUCACUCUUCUCUGCCCUGCUCUGGAGUCUGCCCACUAUGGACUGGACCCCCUGGCUCCAGAGCCCUCUGCUGCCCUUUCAAUUUGGCCAGUGGAGGUGUCACUAGGAAAUCAGAGUGUCUUCUACAACCAGAGGUCCACUCACGUGGUGCCUCCCGCCACCCCCCAUUUCCAUCUCUGACAGGACUGGUAACUGUUCCCUCAUCUAAUUGCUUUAAACCCAGGGCUGGUAAUGGCUUCCGGUUGAUACUAGUUACUGGGUUACUCAUCAAGUAUUACUAGUUUCCUCUCCAUAGUCACAUCUGUGUGUGUAUUCCCUUCACUAAUAUAUUUGGGUAAAUCUUUAGAGUGUGCCAUCGGUUUCCUCCUGAGACUGAUAAACAACAAACAAUAUCCUUUAUUCAAAGCACUGACUUUACAUUCUCCUUGGCACACAAGAGAAGGAGUUGCUGCCGCAUUUUCCCUUCCUAACACUGUCUAAGGCAGUGCAGUCAUGUGAGUUGUAGCUGGAAGGAGUUGCUGCCGCAUUUUCCCUUCCUAACACUGUCUAAGGCAGUGCAGUCAUGUGAGUUGUAGCUGGAAGCAACCUGCCUUACCAGUCCCCCAGGAAUGGCUUCCUUCAAAAUCCGGUAUUGCUGACUCAUGCUGGGCUUGCAAUCACUGGGCCGAUGAGUAGGCAAGAAAGCACUUUGUCACUCUCUGGAGGAGAAGAACUGAGAGCUGCCCUUGGAAAGGAGCCUGCACAGCAACCUGGGUCACUGAACAUGCCACAUGCCGAAGGAAUUACCACUGUUCAGUGGGAGUCUUUAAUAAGCUGGAUUCUGAGGGACUUUACUUCUUUUGUAUACCUCCCACCCAGCUGGAUACCCAUGUGUUGGGUGCACUGCAAAGAAGAGGAGGGAUAAUGACAGUGGCCAGUGUUUCUCCCACAGAGUACUGAGAGCUUGUCAUGUGCCUGGCCCUUGCAAGGCAAGGGUGUUACAAAGAUGAGCAAUAUGGAUAAAGUCCCUGCUGCCUGGAGCUUUCCUGAGUGAAACAAACAUUAGACAAAAUAAUCACAAAGUAUAUGAUCAAAUUGUGGUACAUGCUACGAAAGAAAAAUUUAUUCAAUGUAAGAAAAUAAUGUCAAAGAAAUAAAGCAUCAUGACACCCUUGAAACUAAUGGGAGUCCAGAGUGCUUACAGAACAGGAUGGGGAUGGAAGAGAGGAGACAGAUGCGAAAGGACAGCUGGGUAGCAGGGGUACUGCCAAAAGGUGCCAAUGUUCACAGAGGGAGCGGCCAAUGUCAGGUCCUGGUUCCCCCAGCCCCUGCCACCCCGUGCUAAGAAAAACUCAAAGGUCAUACAACCACAGGAACAAGUGCCAGCAAAGGAACCCUUUAUUGCUCAGCAAGACUUAGUCAAAGAAUCAUUUUAUCCAGGAUAAUUCAGCCCUAUUGAUCCAGAAUCAAAACAGUUAAAAAGCCUUUCUGUGUAUGUUUACCCUAAAGGAUAAAUUUUAAUUUCACAGGUUUCACCAAUUCAAUACAAGGAGAACCAGUGUAACAAAGAGAACACUCAUCUACUUGGAGGUGGGCAAACUCCCAAGGAGGGAAGAGUUCUGUGUCUUUAAAAAUUUGUCUCCGCAUUUUAUCAUCAUAUACUUCCACCAACAGAAUUCCUCUGCAAGCAGUAGAGAGAGGAGAUACAGUGCAUAGUUGGGGCAAAGAGACACCACUUUUCAGAUUUAGCAUCACUUUUGGAUAAUUUGCUCGUUGUUUCUGAGAAAUUUUCUUAAAAUACAUAUAAAAUUCAUUGACCAUGAAUUGUGAUAAGAUCAGUACCCGGAUAGGAAAACUGUUCUCAUGACUAGCAACUAAUACUAAGAGGGAAGAAAACAAUCAUGUAGACAUGAAACUGUCUCCCGUGUAGAAGAGUUCACAACAUUAUCCUUCUGUAUGUUUUGAUAACUCUGUUGAGUCUGUACUGCAUUAUGAAAGCAUUUUCUAUCUUGUACACAUAUAAGAGGACUUCAGGUAAAAUCCUAAAAAUUUUGUCAUCCAAACUGUGUGAUGGCAGCUUAAAAUCACAUUAAAUGGCCUGCUGGCCUCGUGAUUAAGCACAGGUGUUUGGCUGUGGUUUAUUCAUCUGCAGUCAUAUUUUCCCAGGGUGAUUUGUGGGGGAAGGGAAGGAGAUUUUCUAGUCAUACUUUCUCCUCAUCUACUUUAAUCUCCAUUACCUUAGUGGAAUUAGUGAUUUGAUGUUCAAUGUUUAAAAUCCAAUUGUUAGCAAUUUAAAAUAAUAUAUCCAUUAAUUAAAGAUACUUCAAAAUAUGCCAGUGAUUUGUUUCUUUAAACAAUAACUGAAGAUAGUAUCUAUACAAUCCUAGAAAACUUAAAUUGGAAAUUAUCGCCUAAUGGAAAUUUUUCACCUUGAUCUUCUAUGGGGAGAGUGCGGACUUUAUCAGAAUGUCUGAGGGAAGGAACUGGGAUCCAGUUCUCUCCUCCCUGUUAGUACUUCCAUUUCCCCGGGAUUGGUGUGAUUUAAAAGCAGAAAAGGAAGGAGAGACUGUCCUUGCAAGUCUUCAAGGAUAACAAAAGUCCUAUCCUUAUUCAGUCUAAGAGGAGUUUGAGGCCCUAGGAGCCAUAAAACUAAUAAAUCCUGAAAUGUGCACUUACUGCUCUUCUUUGUUCUUCCUCAGGUUGAAUACUGUACAUGAGCUCGCCUUCCAGGACACUCAGAAUUGGCACAUUUGCUAAAAAUAUGGCUCCCUUUCACAUACAAGGAGAUAUAAAAUAGUGUAAACUUAUAUCCUAUUAUUUGACUAGGUAUUCCAUUUCAUUGGUUUAUGUUUCAUUACACCAGGGGUUAGCAUCUAUAAAAACAGAGUUUGGGAUUAUCAGUUGGGUUUGGUUCAUACUGAGAUCAUUUUCAACAGCAUCCUAGGAGUUCCCCUACAAAACUAGUGUUGCAUAUGUAGCUUCAAAGUUAGUCAAGACCAAAAGUUAUACUCAAAGUUACAACAGUACGGAACAACUAUUUUGGGUUAAAUUGCCUAAAAUUCAACACCACUUCCUUUUUCCUCCUUCUUAUAAUAACCUUCUGGGGCUAGCCCUAAGUUGACUGCAACUCUUGUCCUCUGAGGUGGCCACACCAUGUCCAUAUAUACAGAGAAUGGCAUAGCAAAGUGACAAUCUCUAAAGAUCCCCAAGUGUCCUAAGGCAUUGAAAAUAUGAGAAUCAUGUUUCCAUGUAAUUCCAUAUAAAUUACUGUUGCAAGGGGACUUGUGUUUUGUUUUAUUUUUGGCUUUUUUUUUUUUUAAGGCCAUAU
Molecule: non-coding RNA, 6237 nt
Organism: Sus scrofa (pig)
Lineage: Eukaryota; Metazoa; Chordata; Mammalia; Artiodactyla; Suidae
Source: RefSeq, a predicted model, not a curated record